ACGGUUAGGUCAGUUGGUAGAGCGCUCCCCUGGGAAUGGAGAGGUCCCUGGAUCGAUACCAGGAUCAGGGGUA
RNAcentral lists this transfer RNA (73 nucleotides) under Ixodes scapularis (black-legged tick). Its description in RNAcentral is "tRNA-Pro". Lineage: Eukaryota; Metazoa; Arthropoda; Arachnida; Ixodida; Ixodidae. The record is from RNAcentral.